GAUGAACGCUGGCGGCGUGCCUAAUACAUGCAAGUCGAGCGAACAGACGAGGAGCUUGCUCCUCUGACGUUAGCGGCGGACGGGUGAGUAACACGUGUAUAACCUACCUAUAAGACUGGGAUAACUUCGGGAAACCGGAGCUAAUACCGGAUAAUAUAUUGAACCGCAUGGUUCAAUAGUGAAAGACGGUUUUGCUGUCACUUAUAGAUGGAUCCGCGCCGCAUUAGCUAGUUGUUAAGGUAACGGCUUACCAAGGCAACGAUGCGUAGCCGACCUGAGAGAGUGAUCGGCCACACUGGAACUGAGACACGGUCCAGACUCCUACGGGAGGCAGCAGUAGGGAAUCUUCCGCAAUGGGCGAAAGCCUGACGGAGCAACGCCGCGUGAGUGAUGAAGGUCUUCGGAUCGUAAAACUCUGUUAUUAGGGAAGAACAAAUGUGUAAGUAACUAUGCACGUCUUGACGGUACCUAAUCAGAAAGCCACGGCUAACUACGUG
RNAcentral lists this ribosomal RNA (497 nucleotides) under uncultured bacterium. Its description in RNAcentral is "partial 16S ribosomal RNA". It matches the Rfam family "Bacterial small subunit ribosomal RNA", at positions 28 to 507 of the family's 1533-position model. The record is from RNAcentral.